GAUGAACGCUGGCGGCGUGCCUAAUACAUGCAAGUCGAGCGAACAGACGAGGAGCUUGCUCCUCUGACGUUAGCGGCGGACGGGUGAGUAACACGUGGAUAACCUACCUAUAAGACUGGGAUAACUUCGGGAAACCGGAGCUAAUACCGGAUAAUAUAUUGCACCGCAUGGUUCAAUAGUGAAAGACGGUUUUGCUGUCACUUAUAGAUGGAUCCGAGCCGCAUUAGCUAGUUGGUAAGGUAACAGCUUACCAAGGCAACGAUGCGUAGCCGACCGGAGAGGGUGGUCGCCCACACUGGAGCUGAGACACGGUCCAUACUCCUACGGGAGGCAGCAGUAGGGAAUCGUCCGCAAUGGGCGAAAGCCUGACGGAGCAGCGCCGAGUGAGUGAUGAAGGUCUUCGGAUCGUAAAACUCUGUUAUUAGGUGAGAACAAAUGUGUAAGUAACUAUGCACGUCUUGACGGUACCUAAUCAGAAAGCCACGGCUAACUACGUG
Molecule: ribosomal RNA, 497 nt
Filed under: uncultured bacterium
Lineage: Bacteria
Description: partial 16S ribosomal RNA
Rfam family: Bacterial small subunit ribosomal RNA
Source: RNAcentral